GACGAACGCUGGCGGCGUGCUUAACACAUGCAAGUCGAACGGUAAGGCCCUUCGGGGUACACGAGUGGCGAACGGGUGAGUAACACGUGGGUGAUCUGCCCUGCACUUCGGGAUAAGCCUGGGAAACUGGGUCUAAUACCGGAUAGGACCACUGCCUGCAUGGGUGGGGGUGGAAAGCUUUUGCGGGGUGGGAUGGGCCCGCGGCCCAUCAGCUUGUUGGGGGGGUGAUGGCCUACCAAGGCGACGACGGGUAGCCGGCCUGAGAGGGUGACCGGCCACACUGGGACUGAGAUACGGCCCAGACUCCUACGGGAGGCAGCAGUGGGGAAUAUUGCACAAUGGGCGCAAGCCUGAUGCAGCGACGCCGCGUGAGGGAUGACGGCCUUCGGGUUGUAAACCUCUUUCAGCACCGACGAAGCGCAAGUGACGGUAGGUGCAGAAGAAGGACCGGCCAACUACGUGCCAGCCGCCGCCGUAA
Molecule: ribosomal RNA, 478 nt
Filed under: uncultured bacterium
Lineage: Bacteria
Description: partial 16S ribosomal RNA
Rfam family: Bacterial small subunit ribosomal RNA
Source: RNAcentral